This 403-nucleotide ribosomal RNA is filed under the name uncultured bacterium. RNAcentral describes it as "bacterial SSU rRNA". It matches the Rfam family "Bacterial small subunit ribosomal RNA", at positions 356 to 773 of the family's 1533-position model. The record is from RNAcentral.
GGGGGAUAUUGCACAAUGGAGGAAACUCUGAUGCAGCAACGCCGCGUGAGGGAAGACGGUUUUCGGAUUGUAAACCUCUGUCCUUGGUGACGAAACAAAUGACGGUAGCCAAGGAGGAAGCUCCGGCUAACUACGUGCCAGCAGCCGCGGUAAUACGUAGGGAGCGAGCGUUGUCCGGAUUUACUGGGUGUAAAGGGUGCGUAGGCGGCUCUGCAAGUCAGGCGUGAAAGCCAUGGGCUUAACUCAUGGACUGCGUUUGAAACUGUGGAGCUUGAGUGAAGUAGAGGUAGGCGGAAUUCCCGGUGUAGCGGUGAAAUGCGUAGAGAUCGGGAGGAACACCAGUGGCGAAGGCGGCCUACUGGGCUUUAACUGACGCUGAGGCACGAAAGCAUGGGUAGCAAAC